GCGAGCAUGGUCUAGUGGCUAUGACGUCUGCCUUACACGCAGAAGAUCCCGGGUUCAAUCCCCGGUGCUCGUA
Non-coding RNA from Eimeria mitis, 73 nucleotides. The record is from Rfam. Lineage: Eukaryota; Apicomplexa; Conoidasida; Eucoccidiorida; Eimeriidae.